Molecule: long non-coding RNA, 1888 nt
Filed under: Brassica napus (rape)
Lineage: Eukaryota; Viridiplantae; Streptophyta; Magnoliopsida; Brassicales; Brassicaceae
Description: long non-coding RNA (BNAP_LNC000384)
Source: RNAcentral
CCUCCAUCGUUUCUGCUCCUACAAAAAAUCCCAGAAACAUCAAAUACAUACUCCCUUAAGAUAUACAGCAAGCACACAAAUGUCGGGGAACUCACCGCCGUCCUUCUCUUUCCCACGCCGGUUGCGUAUCCUCGACAUCCUUCUCCGAGCAACUUUCUGAGAUUCUCAUUUGCCAUAAUUCACCGUUGUCUCGCUUCUUCUUUGAGCAACUUUCUGAGAAUUGGAUGACUAGUGAUUUUAGGGAUUGUAAAGUCAAUCGUCGGGAAAAAAAAUAGCAUAACCUGAUUUGAAAAGAAAAAAAGAACUAAGAAGACGAGAAGAUAUACAAAAGGUACUUUACUAGUUAUGUAUAUAAAAUUAGGUUUAAUCUUUUAUGGGAUCCAUCACUAAUUUUGAAUUUCGAAAAUCUAAUCAAACCAAAAUCUUCUAACUAAAAAAUAACUUACUAGUUACACUUUUAAGAGGGCAUUUUGAGUCUUUUCACCAAAAAACUGCUCUAGUAGCACAAACUGCUCUAGAGUGAUAAUAAAACUUGUAAACUGCCUUAGAGUGUAAAUCGCUCAUAUUACAAAGCAAGAAACGAGAUGAUGAUGAAAACAGCUGGUGGCGCAACUACAAUAUUCCGUUUGAUGGUAUCUUUCUUGCUGGUUGCAAUAACAGCAUCUGGUUUUGUUUCUGGUGAGAAGGAAAUAGUGCUUGAUACUAUCGGGAGGCCAGUUGAGUUUUAUGCUCCGUAUCACGCCUACUUCGAACGACCGGGAGCAAAUGCCCUGAUUUGUCGUUACGGGAGCAUCGAAACUUCUGGCUUUUCAUGCCCGCAAAGAGUGGUAUUGCUCUCUUAUGGAAGGGAACUACGAAUGAUAAAUUCACAAGUUACAUUUAUACCAACGUCAUCAGAUUCAGAUGUGGUACGUGUGUCAACAGAGCUUAAAAUCCGUUUCCAAUUUCCCAAUCACUGCGAGGAGUCGGGUUAUUGGAGAGUUGCAGACAGCUCAUUGCCAAUCAGAGAAAUAGUAUUGACGGGAUCCAAGUCAAGCAAUGACACCACAUUCACCAUAAAAAAGUCUGGCGUAUCAUACCAGUUUGCUUUCGGAAGUGCUGACAAACCAACGGCUAUCGGUUUAGAUUCUCUAGAUUCUGGUAUACAGAGGUUGAUAUUGUCGAACGACUAUGCCUUUGACAUUCAGUUCGUACCGUUGUAGUGUUCCCCUUUUACAGACUACUCUUGUAUCUUCUUCUUUGUUUUUUUUUUUCUGUUUCUGUUUUCUUCAUGUAAUGUUUCAUUUCAAAUCAAAUAAAUCUGUGGUAUUUUUCUUUUUCUUCUCCAGAAGAGUGCAGUUAUGAAAAUAUUUGUAAAUCUUUGUAUUUUCAUAUAUGAGAAAAUCAAAUAUAUUAUUAACAAAAAUAACCAAAAAGAAUCUAGGGGAAAUUUUACUUUUACACUUUGUUUGAUACCACUAUUCAAUUUUACCACUAAUUUAGGGACAUUUUCAUAAAUACCACUUUCAUUAAUGAACAAAAGACAAUAGUACCCUUACCUUAUCUUCUCCUCAAUCAUCGACUUUUCCUCUCUCUUUUUGAGAUCCAUCUUCUCUUGGACUUACCGUCGAGAUCCGCCGUCUCCGUCGAGAUCCGCCGUCUCCGUCGAGAUCCGCCAUCUCUCUCUCUCACACAACCGGCGACGAAAACGGAUUACAGAGAAUCGCGAUUCAAAGCCUUCAAAUGUUGAUUCCUGUUCAAGAUUCACAACUCGUAUGUCUCUAAUUUUUGUAUUCUUUUGUUUGUAUCGAGUAAAUAUUUGAUUUUGUUCUUUCUCUUAUCAAAAAAUCAAAAAAGUUUGCUUUAGACUUCUCAUUUGAACAUGUCGAUAUAAGAGAAACAAUUUCCA